AUGGUGCUCAUGAGCGCUGCGGCGACGGCCGCCGUGAUUUACGCGUACGGCAAGUCGGUCGCCUCGGUCGGGCUUGCUGCAGGGACCAGCGCCAGGGCGUUCUGGGUGAUCGGCGGUUUCACCAAGGUGCUGUGUCCGAUCUGCCACGAGCAUGUCAGGCAGAUGAAGUACGAGAGGCACACCAGAGAGCAUACGUUCGAGUGCCCCUCGUGCUACGACCAGGUCCCGUUCUCCGAGCUCGAGAACCAUGCACAGAGCCAUGGGUAUCGAUGCUCGGUGUGCUACCAGACCGUCCCGCUCGCCAACUUCGGCACUCACCUGGAUCUCCACAGGGAGGAGCUGGCCGGGAUCAGGCGGAUCAGAGACGAGGGCUACCAAACAAGGCUGGAGGACCUGGAGCGCGAAUGCCAGCAAAAGAUGGCGGACCUUGAGCGGGCGGAGGCUGCGUAUAUCGAGAAGAGAGAGCAAGCGAGACUGUUAUGGGAACACCUAAAGUCCAAUUGCCCUGCCUGCAAUGAAACCGUGCCCAUGCCCCAAAUGGAAUCACAUGUCCGAGAGCACAAACUUGAUUUAAAGCAAAGUUCAACCAGACGCAAUGAGAUUGCUAACAUGGGGAUCAGGGUCAAGGGCCUAAGAAUCGGAGCUCUCGUGAAGCGUUGGGCCAGUCAUCAGUAG
This 675-nucleotide ribosomal RNA is filed under the name Triticum aestivum (bread wheat). Its description in RNAcentral is "partial small subunit ribosomal RNA". The record is from RNAcentral. Lineage: Eukaryota; Viridiplantae; Streptophyta; Magnoliopsida; Poales; Poaceae.